CCUACGGGUGGCCGCAGUGGGGAAUAUUGGACAAUGGGCGAAAGCCUGAUCCAGCCAUGCCGCGUGUGUGAAGAAGGCCUUCGGGUUGUAAAGCACUUUCAGUGGGGAAGAAAGCCUUGGGGCUAAUACCCUCGAGGAAGGACAUCACCCACAGAAGAAGCACCGGCUAACUCCGUGCCAGCAGCCGCGGUAAUACGGAGGGUGCGAGCGUUAAUCGGAAUUACUGGGCGUAAAGCGCGCGUAGGCGGUCUGAUAAGCCGGUUGUGAAAGCCCCGGGCUCAACCUGGGAACGGCAUCCGGAACUGUCAGGCUAGAGUGCAGGAGAGGAAGGUAGAAUUCCCGGUGUAGCGGUGAAAUGCGUAGAGAUCGGGAGGAAUACCAGUGGCGAAGGCGGCCUUCUGGACUGACACUGACGCUGAGGUGCGAAAGCGUGGGUAGCAAACAGGAUUAGAUACCCGAGUAGC
Molecule: ribosomal RNA, 464 nt
Filed under: Vreelandella stevensii
Lineage: Bacteria; Pseudomonadati; Pseudomonadota; Gammaproteobacteria; Oceanospirillales; Halomonadaceae
Description: partial 16S ribosomal RNA
Rfam family: Bacterial small subunit ribosomal RNA
Source: RNAcentral